GAUGAACGCUGGCGGCAUGCUUAACACAUGCCAGUCGGACGGGAAGUGGUGUUUCCAGUGGCGGACGGGGGAGUAACGCGUAAGAACCUGCCCUCGGGAGGGGAACAACAGCUGGAAACGGCUGCUAAUACCCCGUAGGCCGGGGAGCAAACGGUGGAAUCCGCACGAGAAGGGGCUUGCGUCUGAUUAACUAGUGGGUUAGGCAAUAGCUUACCAAGGAGCCUAUCAGUAGCUGUUCCGAGAGGAUGAUCAGCCACACUGGGACUGAGCCACGGCCCAGACUCCUACGGGAGACAGCAGUGGGGAAGUUUCCGCAAUGGGCGAUAGGCUGAGGGGGCAAUGGCGCGUGGAAGUAGAAGGCCCACGGGUGGUGAACUGCUUUUCCCGGAGACGAAGGAAUGACGGUAUCUGGAGAAUAAGCAUCGGCUAACUCUGUG
RNAcentral lists this ribosomal RNA (437 nucleotides) under uncultured bacterium. RNAcentral describes it as "partial 16S ribosomal RNA". It matches the Rfam family "Bacterial small subunit ribosomal RNA", at positions 28 to 507 of the family's 1533-position model. The record is from RNAcentral.